This 477-nucleotide ribosomal RNA is filed under the name Triticum aestivum (bread wheat). Its description in RNAcentral is "partial small subunit ribosomal RNA". The record is from RNAcentral. Lineage: Eukaryota; Viridiplantae; Streptophyta; Magnoliopsida; Poales; Poaceae.
AUGGCCGAAGCCGCCUACAACUACUUCUCCAACGUCAUUGGCUCGUUUGAAGAACGCACCUUCUCCCUAGACCAGUCCCUUUUGCGCACGGGAUCAUUCGACCUAUCCGACUUAGAGACACCUUUCACGGAGGACGAGAAUUGGAGGGCCAUCAAAAGCCUACCAACCGGAAAGGCUCCCGUCCUGGAUGGAUUCAUGGCCGAGUUCCUUCGAGCUUGUUGGGAUAUUAUCAAGCAUGACAUAUGUGAGGCUUUUGACAAGCUAUACACCACCAAUGGAUGAGGUUUCCAAAAACUCAACGAAGCGCUCCUCACUCUCCUACCCAAGUGCCCGGACGCCACUGCCCUAUCUGACUACCGCCCCAUUAGCCUCAUCCACCUCAUUGCAAAACUCUUUACAAAGGUGUUGUCUCUGUGGCUUGCACCUCGUCUUGGGGCCAUGGUCUCGACCAACCAGAGCACCUUCAUCGCCGGUUGA